CCCAUAAGAUCCGUUACUUGCUGAACUGAACAAGCAAGUCGUAAGCCUCCAUCUUAGCCUUGAAAAUUCCUCAGACAGAUGCAAACAUCACAUCCCAUGUGGUCACCGUGGCCGUGGACGCAUGUCAAGCAGCCACGUUUUGCGCGAGUCCACACUUACCUUACACAACCUACAGCCUUGGCUGUGUGGCUCACCCCAUUUCUUCCCAGCUCUGGUCCCCUAUACGGUGUGAGGAGGAGCAGAGGGAUUGUGUAGUUCUUGGAUCGCCCAGACUACAGAAUGAACAUUCCAUUCUGUGAUAUGGGAAUACCUGGUAACAACUCUAGUGCUCCUGGUCCUCGAAAGCUCACUGAAGCCUGAGAAAGAAAUGUUCUCAUUUUGAUGUCCAGUUACACUAAAAUACUGCUAAGUAGAGAUAGACACCUUCUUCAAACUUCGCCUGCUGAGCACACCAGAAGCAUCUUGCUCUCUGCAAAAGCAAGGACAGAAUAUGCAGAUGCUGUCCCAGGAGGCUGGGGGCCUGGGUCCUCUCCAGGAGAAAAUGAGCUGAAGGUCACUUCAUGUGAUAAAGCAACAGUUCUGAGUUCCCUUUUCUCUGUCCCUUACUACAAAAGACCCUUGCCCAACUGUGCAAGGUAAGGUGGUGAUUCGAGGCACAUGGGCCCUUCCCUUAACUUGGAGAUAGCUUUGAAUAAAUCCUUUUUCUCCUACUUACCAAC
Molecule: long non-coding RNA, 719 nt
Filed under: Fukomys damarensis (Damara mole-rat)
Lineage: Eukaryota; Metazoa; Chordata; Mammalia; Rodentia; Bathyergidae
Description: lncRNA (ENSFDAG00000022080.1)
Source: RNAcentral